GGGAUUGCCCUAGUAACGGCGAGUGAAGCGGCAAUAGCUCAAAUUUGAAAUCUGGCCCUUUCAGGGUCCGAGUUGUAAUUUGUAGAGGGUGCUUUGGAGUCGGCAGCGGUCUAAGUUCCUUGGAACAGGACAUCACAGAGGGUGAGAAUCCCGUACGUGGUCGCCUUGCCUUCGCCAUGUAAAGCCCCUUCGACGAGUCGAGUUGUUUGGGAAUGCAGCUCUAAAUGGGAGGUAAAUUUCUUCUAAAGCUAAAUACUGGCCAGAGACCGAUAGCGCACAAGUAGAGUGAUCGAAAGAUGAAAAGCACUUUGGAAAGAGAGUCAAAAAGCACGUGAAAUUGUUGAAAGGGAAGCGCUGGCAGCCAGACUUGCCUGUAGUUGCUCAUCUAGGCUCUUGCCUGGUGUACUCUUCUGCAGGCAGGCCAGCAUCAGUUUGGGCGGUUGGAGAAUGGCCUCUGUCACGUAUCUCUCUUCGGAGAGACCUUAUAGGGGAGGCGUAAUGCAACCAGCCUGGACUGAGGUCCGCGCAUCUGCUAGGAUGCUGGCGUAAUGGCUGUCAGCGGCCCGUCUUGAAACACGGACCAAGGAGUCUAACAUCUAUGCGAGUGUUUGGGUGUCAAGCCCGAGCGCGCAAUGAAAGUGAACGGAGGUGGGAACCCUCUUGGGGGUGCACCAUCGACCGAUCCUGAUGUCUUCGGAUGGAUUUGAGUAAGAGCAUAGCUGUUGGGACCCGAAAGAUGGUGAACUAUGCUUGAAUAGGGUGAAGCCAGAGGAAACUCUGGUGGAAGCUCGCAGCGGUUCUGACGUGCAAAUCGAUCGUCAAAUUUGGGCAUAGGGGCGAAAGACUAAUCG
RNAcentral lists this ribosomal RNA (851 nucleotides) under Shearia formosa. RNAcentral describes it as "partial large subunit ribosomal RNA". It matches the Rfam family "Eukaryotic large subunit ribosomal RNA", at positions 71 to 937 of the family's 3401-position model. The record is from RNAcentral. Lineage: Eukaryota; Fungi; Ascomycota; Dothideomycetes; Pleosporales; Longiostiolaceae.